Molecule: ribosomal RNA, 253 nt
Filed under: uncultured bacterium
Lineage: Bacteria
Description: partial 16S ribosomal RNA
Rfam family: Bacterial small subunit ribosomal RNA
Source: RNAcentral
UACAGAGACUGCAAGCGUUAUUCGGAUUCACUGGGCGUAAAGGGCGCGCCGGCGGCCAUGUGUGUCAGGUGUGAAAGCCCGAGGCUCAACCUCGGAAUUGCGCCUGAAACUACAUGGCUAGAGUACUGGAGAGGGUAGCGGAAUUCAUGGUGUAGCAGUGAAAUGCGUAGAUAUCAUGAGGAACACCAGAGGCGAAGGCGGCUACCUGGACAGUUACUGACGCUCAGGCACGAAAGCGUGGGGAGCAAAAGGG